This 394-nucleotide ribosomal RNA is filed under the name uncultured bacterium. Its description in RNAcentral is "bacterial SSU rRNA". It matches the Rfam family "Bacterial small subunit ribosomal RNA", at positions 30 to 423 of the family's 1533-position model. The record is from RNAcentral.
AUUGAACGCUGGCGGCAUGCCUUACACAUGCAAGUCGAACGGCAGCACGGGGGGUAACCCCUGGUGGCGAGUAGCGAACGGGUGAGUAAUACAUCGGAACGUGUCCUGUAGCGGGGGAUAACCUCUCGAAAGAGAGGCUAAUACCGCAUACGACCUACGGGUGAAAGAGGGGGAUCGCAAGACCUCUCACUAUUGGAGCGGCCGAUGUCGGAUUAGCUAGUUGGUGGGGUAAAAGCCACCAAGGCUACGAUCCGUAGCUGGUCUGAGAGGACGGCCAGCCACACUGGAACUGAGACACUGUCCAGACUCCUACGGGAGGCUGCAGUCGAGAAUCUUGGUCAAUGCACGAAAGUGUGAACCAGCGACGCCGCGUGAAGAUGAAGGACCUCUGGUU